CUUACCCAACCCCUCCAAACCUAUCUCACUAACAAAUUUCCUCCUAAUGCAUUUAAAGAUAUCUCAUUCAAUCUUUCUCUCAAUUUCUUUAAUCUUCAUCAUCCUUAUCCAUUCUUAAUCCCCAAUCCCCUGCACUACCAUAGACGAAACAUUUCUCUCUAAAUACAAGCACUCCCAUAGUCACUUGCCGCCAUUGUGAAACACAUAUGAUGUCGCUACUGCGUAAUAGAGUUGCCGCCAUUGUGAAACACAUAUGAUGUCGCCACUGCGAAAAGAGCCGCCGCCACCGCUGUGAAACAGAGUCGCCGCCGCCACACCCUCAACCUCUCCUAAAGCCUCCAUACCUAUCUCAUUCUUGAAUAUCUCUGGUGCCUCCAUAAAAACACAAACCUCUCCACUCAACCCUUGCCCAAUUUCUUUCACAUCGGUUUCCUCCCAGGACCGUCUUCCAGUCCCAGCACCGUCGUCCGUCCUCCCAGUUCUGCCUCUCAUUGGUACCUGUUUAACCAAGAGGGCAUAUAGUACUAAUCAUGUGGAGACACUGCGAGCUCCAACAACACAAACACACAGGUUCAACAUAUGAACCGCUAGAAAUUUUGUUUUUUUAUUAUGAUUGCGUUCCAAAUAUCAUUUUAUGGUUAUCAUAAUGCAGAAAUCAUGAAAAUGUGGCAGACAGAUGGAAAUGGGUGUUAUUUUAUGCACAUUGUGUUUAGCAUGCCAAUUAGCUUCUUUACUCCAAGAUAUUAGUCAAUGUUUUGCAAGAAGUAACCAAAUUUGAAGAUGAUGAUAAUUCGGUAUGGCUUGGAAAAUGAAGAUAUUUUUGGUACCUUAGACUACUGGAGGACACCCUUUCAUUACAUCAAAUCAGAUUAUUAUAUAUUCUGAGGUUUAGGAUAAUUUUGUAAACUACAACUGAGAGUCAUUAUUGUUCAUUUGUUAAUGUGAUCAUUGUCAUUCCAUGUAAACAAGAACAAGAUGUCAUGUUUCUUCUCAUUACCUUUAGAAAAUUUUUAUAGGCUAUGCAGUGAGAUUCUAAAUUUCAUUACAUUUGUAUAGGCUAUAAAGUAUUUAUAUUGAAUAUUCAAAAUUGAUCCCCUCAUUUAUAAUUGAAGUAUUGAAAAACUAAAGCAU
Molecule: long non-coding RNA, 1131 nt
Filed under: Lupinus angustifolius (narrow-leaved blue lupine)
Lineage: Eukaryota; Viridiplantae; Streptophyta; Magnoliopsida; Fabales; Fabaceae
Description: long non-coding RNA (LANG_LNC000780)
Source: RNAcentral